AAAAUUUUCUACCACAGCUAACGGGCAUGUGAAUUCAUUUAUUAAAACAGUCCAAAAGAACACUUCAUGGUUAGCUCAAUCUCAUCAAGUCCAAGGGAAAUUCAAUUCACUUGUUGUCCAUAAAUUGAUGAAUUAUGUUGGGAAUUGGGCCUAAUUAAACUGUAUUUUAAAAACAAAAAAUCUUAAAAGCAAAGGUUCAAUGUGAAUAGAAAUAAUUAGCUAGUUCCAAGCUAAGGCAAUUCCAACAAAAAAAAAAU
Molecule: unclassified non-coding RNA, 257 nt
Filed under: Hevea brasiliensis (rubber tree)
Lineage: Eukaryota; Viridiplantae; Streptophyta; Magnoliopsida; Malpighiales; Euphorbiaceae
Source: RNAcentral